Molecule: non-coding RNA, 240 nt
Organism: Chrysemys picta bellii (western painted turtle)
Lineage: Eukaryota; Metazoa; Chordata; Testudines; Emydidae
Source: RefSeq, a predicted model, not a curated record
CUCCCCAAAGAAAAUCUGGCACAGUGUGACCUCAUGUCCACAGCAUGCAGGGUGCUUGAAUAUGAACAGGGCACUUUCGGUAAAUAGACGCGAAGGCCAGGCCCUGUCUCAGCUGCCUUGCUUUCUUUAGUUCCAGGGAGUUGAUCACCAGGGAGAUCCAAACUGAUGAUAAACAAGAAGAACUGAAUCUCCAUCAGUGCCAUGUAAUAGCUCUUUAAAAGUAAAACAAUGUCAAUGGGC